UUUUUAAUUCCCCAAGGAAGAAAUUGUUCAUCCCAAUUAAUGGGAAGAAUUAGUCUUUCUACUCACAUGCUAUAGUCCCACGACCUAAACCUAUAAAUAUAUCAACUCUUGGAGUUAUAAGGAUAUUAAUUUUUUACAAAUUUAGCUUACCUAAAAUCAUAUUGCACUCCUCACGUGAGCAAGGUUCCCUUUAUUGUAUUUCUUGUAAGUAAAAUUGAUGCCACCGUGAGGCUUUGGUAAAACUGAUAAGGUCACACCUUCACUUAACACUCAAU
Molecule: long non-coding RNA, 275 nt
Filed under: Lathyrus oleraceus (garden pea)
Lineage: Eukaryota; Viridiplantae; Streptophyta; Magnoliopsida; Fabales; Fabaceae
Description: Pisum sativum (pea) long non-coding RNA (PSAT_LNC032166)
Source: RNAcentral